UUCUUUGACCACAAAAAUCUUCUCCGGUCAUCCUCCGCCUCCCUACAUCGAGUGUUGCUUGCGUCUUUCCCUUGCACUCCGACCGCCGCCACCGAUUCUUCCCCGUUCGUUGACAUCGAUCAAGGCUCAUUUACUUCUACCCACUGGAACCACCAUAUCUCCCACUCGAUGUUGAACUUGUCAGAAAAAGCCCUAAUUCAGUAUUAUACUCUCAAGUCUCAAUAUUAAGAAUGCAAAUCUUGAUUCUUGUUUGUUUCUUAUUCCCCACAGAUAAACCGAAAAAGGGGAAUUAGAAUAACGAAGGUAGCGGGAGUUUUGGUCCGGUGGCCGUGGUUCAUCUAUCGAGCAAGGAAGAUGGGAACGCAAGCAACCAUGGUGGCUCGAUGAUGCAAUCAAUCGAGAAAGGGGAAACACCUUUAGUGCGGGAUCAAUUUGAAAAAAAAGGAGAAGGGAGAAGCAGCGAUGCUUCCCUUGUCUGCCACAGCUAGGGGAAGGCGCUCCGACGGUCUCCUUGGUUGUUCUUCCUUGUCGCCAUCAGAUUACACGUAGGGAGGGGACUCAACUUGUCCGAUGGAGCAGGGCAAGUAGCGACUAGUAGAUCAGGAUGAUCGAUCUAUUCGUGAGGAGGAGGAGGUAAUUAUCGGUUCUUGGUGAGCUUUCCUUGGCUUCUUAGACUCCGUCAUCGGUAGAAAGUGGGGUAAGUGAGUCGGUUUCUUGUCUGGUUUCGCUGAAAUAAACGGAGGGAGGAAAGGUUUGGGUGGAGGUCUAAUCGAUGAAAACAGUGGGAGCCUCUUGGUCUCGUCGGAUGCUACUCCAUCUCCAGUGGACACCUCCCAUGUACUCCGUUUUACUUAUGUAUUUUGUCGACUAUCCUGUAGGUCUCUUCUUCUUAUUCACGCCUCCACCAUGGACCUCAAUUUUAAACCACCUGAUGCUCGCUUCUUUCUUCUUGAAAGACCCUCCGUCAUACCAAGUUACUAUUCAGAUCACUGAUGUCGGGCCAGUUGGCAUCCACGGUGGUGCGGGACAGCUGACGUCCCUUCCUCCCUCUGGGAAAAAACCACCACAACAUCAUUCCCAAUGUAUCAAGACCACAACCUCACACCCUCGCCACCAAUUUACAUCAAGGAAUCUGCCAGCCACCACCACUAACACUUUUUUAGGUUGGAUAUUUGUUUGGGUUUGGUUUCUUGAAGAUGUUCAUGGUGUUCUGGGACUCCACAGAUACGGUUCAUGAACGAAUGACACAAAAAAAUAUUGAUGGCAUUAUAAAAGGUUGUUGCUUUUAACAAGCCCAGUUAGGAGUUGAAGAGCAUGGAAGAAUUCCUCAAGUUUGACCUGGAAUAUGACCAACCAGGUUUACAACAUUCUAAUUAUUUUUUUCUUUCAAGAACUUUAAAUUAUUAUAUUAUUAAUUUGCUUUUGUCCCUUCAAUUACUAGUGUCCUACAAAUACUUUAAGAAUUACCUCUAUGCAGAUGCCCAAAUCAGUAUUGCUAGGUUGACGGUCGCAAUGGUUAUGCAAUCUAUAAAUGAGUUGUAUUAGAAAAUGGAUAGCUCUGUACUUGAUUUCAAAUUGAUCCGUACUAGAUCUAGGUUUUAGCUGUAUUAGAUUUCAAGCUAAUAACAUUCAUAAAUCCCUGUAUUCUAUUCCCAUUCUUACGGUAUUAACCGUAUAAUAUGUCCGUCUUAGAUUAACAUUACCCAGUUAUAAUACGAAUUUUUAUUACAACCGCAUUAGAUGUGGUGUACUACAUUAGCUAUUUUCCAGUAGUGUUUGUAGCAAUUUAUACAAAGGGGUUUUUUGUUUUAACUUAAUGAGAUUAAUUAAUGGGUAAAAUUAAACCCUUUUGAAUGAAUAGACUAUGUGAUCUAAGUUUGUUCUGUUUCAAAGCAUGGUCACUGUUCUUGAUAAACUUCAGUUUGGUGUACACUCUCUUUCUUCUUGAUGAUGUAGUUUUAAGAAUAUAUGUUCUGUAAUGCAAUUAAUGAUGCUUCAUUUAAGUGGGUAAUAUUCCAGUUCUCUUACCAUAGCCGCCUUCUGAUUCUAUCAUUCUUAGGCAGCUGACUGUAUGGCUGCUUAGCCGCAUUUCGGGACAGCUGACUAUAUGGUCGACAGUUUUCUAGGUGAAAGUACUUAUCUUUUCUUACAUUCAUGAACCAUAUCUGAUGCCAUUUUGUUUUUGUUAUUUUAUAUUGCAUUGACAGCUUUGUAAUUGCAUGCUCUUACUAAACUGUAUAUUACAACUCUAGCUUGACUAAAUCUUUUAACCAUACUAGGGAGAAAUUGAUAAAUCCAUCAACAAAUUUGACUCCAAAGAAUAAAGACGAUUUUUAUUUGGAAAAGAGGCAAUUCUUGUCAUGAUUCUCACUGAUCUUACAUCUUGUUUUUUUAUAUCAAGUUUAAAGUUUACUUAAUCUGCAUGAUUUUUGUUUCUAUACUUAUUUUAUUUAGAUUUAUAUGCAUAUUCUGCAACUACAACUUUAUUUUACCAAUGGCUUUCUUAUAAUUUAUGUUGACAUUUGUUUUUUUACCAAUUUAUGCAACGAAAUGGACUUGUUACAAAUCUAUGCAAAUGCCAAAAUUCGUGAAUUAAUUGCAACAAUUUGAAACAUGACUACUUGCAUAAUUCUUGUUAGUAAAAAGUCAUUGCAUAAUGGCAUGUGUUCAUUUCAAUCCUAGAAAGAUUAUCGCACCUUAGAGAGUAGAUUCU
Non-coding RNA from Lactuca sativa (garden lettuce), 2713 nucleotides. The record is from RefSeq and is a predicted model, not a curated record. NCBI's taxonomy places the organism in Eukaryota, Viridiplantae, Streptophyta, Magnoliopsida, Asterales, Asteraceae.